This is a non-coding RNA of Ciona intestinalis (vase tunicate), 477 nucleotides long. The record is from RefSeq and is a predicted model, not a curated record. NCBI's taxonomy places the organism in Eukaryota, Metazoa, Chordata, Ascidiacea, Phlebobranchia, Cionidae.
ACGAUCAGGAUAUUUGGAUAUAAUGUGCUAAAAACGUGUCCCGUUUUCUCUUACCCCACUAAUUGCUAUAGAGAAUAGACUAUCACGUAAGACUUAACCUAAAAGUAUCCAGAUACCAAAAAGACCGAACAGUUUUUAACCACAAAUUGAAUGUCAAGUUAGCCAGCCAAAUAAACAGCCGAUGAGCAAGAACACUGAGUCGCCACAAAACAUCUAGAAGAUUCAAUUGUGCAAUUGGGCAAAACAACUUUAAACUGCACUCAUAGAAAAACACAGACGCUGUAGUAGGGUGGGCACCUGACAUUUACUGAAACACGGAAAAGCAAACAAAAUGCGCUAUUCUGGUGAAGACGCCCUUUUUUAUUAAACUGGAAGUUAAACUUAAAACCAGUCGUCUCUCGCUUAAAUUUCUCAGCAAAUAUUCUGAUUUUUGUCUGUUGGAUGUAGCAAUUUUAAAUUUAGUUUUGUACUUCUGUU